GGGGCUGAUUCUGGAUUCGACGGGAUUUGCGAAACCCAAGGUGCAUGCCGAGGGGCGGUAGGCCUCGUAAAAAGCCGCAAAAAAUAGUCGCAAACGACGAAAACUACGCUUUAGCAGCUUAAUAACCUGCUUAGAGCCCUCUCUCCCUAGCCUCCGCUCUUAGGACGGGGAUCAAGAGAGGUCAAACCCAAAAGAGAUCGCGUGGAAGCCCUGCCUGGGGUUGAAGCGUUAAAACUUAAUCAGGCUAGUUUGUUAGUGGCGUGUCCGUCCGCAGCUGGCAAGCGAAUGUAAAGACUGACUAAGCAUGUAGUACCGAGGAUGUAGGAAUUUCGGACGCGGGUUCAACUCCCGCCAGCUCCACCA
RNAcentral lists this transfer-messenger RNA (363 nucleotides) under Escherichia coli. RNAcentral describes it as "Standard tmRNA". It matches the Rfam family "transfer-messenger RNA". From Rfam's summary of the family: Bacterial tmRNA, also known as 10Sa RNA or SsrA, is named for its dual tRNA and mRNA-like properties. Its role is to liberate the mRNA from a stalled ribosome. Lineage: Bacteria; Pseudomonadati; Pseudomonadota; Gammaproteobacteria; Enterobacterales; Enterobacteriaceae. The record is from RNAcentral. RNAcentral also lists the same sequence under 5 other names.